GACGAACGCUGGCGGCGUGCUUAACACAUGCAAGUCGAACGGAGUGGCGAACGGGUGAGUAACACGUGGGUGACCUGCCCUGCACUCCGGGAUAAGCCUGGGAAACUGGGUCUAAUACCGGAUAGUGUGGGAUGGGCCCGUGGCCUAUCAGCUUGUUGGUGGGAUAUUGGCCUACCAAGGCGGCGACGGGUAGCCGGCCUGAGUGGGUGGACGGCCACAUAGGGACAGAGACACGGACGUGACUGCUACGGGAGGCAGCAGUGGGGAAUAUUGCAGAAUGGUCGGAAGACUGAUGCAGCUACGCCGCGUGGGGGAUGACGGCCUUCGGGUUGUAAACUACUAUCACCAUCGACGCGGUAGAUGGAGAAAAAGCACCAGCUAACUACGUGACAGCAGCCGCGGUAAUUC
This 408-nucleotide ribosomal RNA is filed under the name uncultured bacterium. Its description in RNAcentral is "partial 16S ribosomal RNA". It matches the Rfam family "Bacterial small subunit ribosomal RNA", at positions 28 to 526 of the family's 1533-position model. The record is from RNAcentral.